This is a long non-coding RNA of Myiozetetes cayanensis, 1547 nucleotides long. RefSeq lists it as uncharacterized. The transcript has 3 exons. Lineage: Eukaryota; Metazoa; Chordata; Aves; Passeriformes; Tyrannidae. The record is from RefSeq and is a predicted model, not a curated record.
AAGUGACUGGGAUCAUACUGGGGUCAUACUGGAAGUGACUGGAAGUGACUGGGAUCAUACUGGGAUCAUACUGGGAUCAUACUGGGCUUGACUGGAAGUGACUGGGAUCAUACUGGGAGUGACUGGAAGUGACUGGGAUCAUACUGGGAGUGACUGGAAGUGACUGGGAUCAUACUGGGAUCAUACUGGGAUUGACUGGAAGUGACUGGGAUCAUACUGGGAUCAUACUGGGAGUGACUGGAAGUGACUGGGAUUAUACUGGGAUCAUACUGGGAUCAUACUGGGAGUGACUGGAAGUGACUGGGAUCAUACUGGGAUCAUACUGGGAUAGACUGGAAGUGACUGGGAUCAUACUGGGGUCAUACUGGGAUCAUGAUGGCAUUGACAGGGAGCAACUGGGACCAUAUUGGGAGCAACUGGAAUCAUACUGGGAGUGACUGGAAGUGACUGGGAUCAUACUGGGAUCAUACUGGGAUUGACUAGAAGUGACUGGAGUCAUACUGGGAUUGACUAGAAGUGACUGGGAUCAUACUGGGAUCAUACUGGGAGUGACCAGAAGUGACUGGAAUCAUACUGGGAUUGACUGGAAGUGACUGGGAUCAUACUGGCAUCAUACUGAGAGUGACUGGAAGUGACUGGGAUCAUACUGGGAUUGACUGGAAGUGACUGGGAUCAUACUGGCAUCAUACUGGGAUUGACUAGAAGUCACUGGGAUCAUACGGGGAUUGACUAGAAAUGACUGGGAUCAUACUGGCAUCAUACUGGGAUUGACUAGAAGUGACUGGGAUCAUACUGGGAGUGACUAGAAGUGACUGGGAUCAUACUGGGAGUGACUGGAAGUGACUGGGAUCAUACUGGGAUCAUACUGGGAGUGACUGGAAGUGACUGGCAUCAUACUGGGAGUGACUGGAAGUGACUGGGAUCAUAGUGGGAGUGACUGGGUUGAUACUGGGAGUGACUGGAAGUGACUGGAAUUGUACUGGGAGUGACUACAAGUGACUGGGAUCAUACUAGGAGCAGUGGGAAAAGACUGGGAUCAUACUGGGGUUAUACUGGGAGUGACUGUGACUAGGAUCAUACUGGGAUCAUACUGGGAUCAUAUGAGGAUCAUACUGGGAGUGGUGAGAAGGGACUGGGAUCAUACUGGGGUCAUACUGGGACAUGAUGGCAUUGACAGGGAGCAACUGGGACCAUGUUGGGGUCAACUGGAAUCAUACUGGGAGUGACUGGAAGUGACUGGGAUCAUACUGGGAUCGUACUGGGAUAGACUGAAGUAACUAGGAUCAUACUGGGAUCAUACUGGGAUCAUGAUAGUGUUGACAGGGACCAACUGGGACCAUGUUGGGGUCAACUGGAAUCAUAUUGAGAGUGACUGGGAUUAUACUGGAAGCGACUGGAACCAUCCUGGGAGUAGCUGGGAUCACACUGGGAUCGCGCUGGGAUAGACUGGGAUUACCAGCGGGUGUGAACGGAACCUUACUGGGGGUUACUGGGAGCUGCUGGGCCCGCACACUGGGAGCAACUGGGAGCAACUGGGAGCAACUUUU